UACGAAGGGAGCUAGCGUUGUUCGGAAUUACUGGGCGUAAAGGGCGCGUAGGCGGUUUUGUAAGUCAGAUGUGAAAGCCCCGGGCUUAACCUGGGAGGUGCAUUUGAAACUGCAAGGCUAGAGAUCGAGAGAGGAAAGUGGAAUUACGAGUGUAGAGGUGAAAUUCGUAGAUAUUCGUAAGAACACCAGUGGCGAAGGCGACUUUCUGGCUCGAUACUGACGCUAAGGCGCGAAAGCGUGGGGAGCAAACAGG
Molecule: ribosomal RNA, 253 nt
Filed under: uncultured bacterium
Lineage: Bacteria
Description: partial 16S ribosomal RNA
Rfam family: Bacterial small subunit ribosomal RNA
Source: RNAcentral